GGCUCAGGACGAACGCUGGCGGCGGGCNUAACACAUGCAAGUCGAACGCACUCGACCUUCGGGUCACAUGAGUGAGUGGCGAACGGGUGAGUAACACGUGAGAAACCUGUCCCGAAGACUGGAAUAACCCGAGGAAACUCGGGCUAAUACCGGAUAUCCCCACCGGAUCACAUGAUCUGGUGAGGAAAUGCUCCGGCGCUUCGGGAGGGUCUCGCGGCCUAUCAGUUAGUUGGUGAGGUAACGGCUCACCAAGGCAUCGACGGGUAGCUGGUCUGAGAGGACGAUCAGCCACACUGGGACUGAGACACGGCCCAGACUCCUACGGGAGGCAGCAGUGGGGAAUCUUGCGCAAUGGGCGAAAGCCUGACGCAGCCACGCCGCGUGAGGGAUGAAGGCUUUCGGGUUGUAAACCUCUUUCAGCAGGGACGAAAAUGACGGUACCUGCAGAAGAAGCUCCGGCCAACUACGUGCCAGCAGCCGCGGUAACACGUAGGGAGCAAGCGUUGUCCGGAUUUAUUGGGCGUAAAGAGCUCGUAGGCGGUUCGGUAAGUCGGGUGUGAAAACUUGAGGCUCAACCUCAAGAGGCCACUCGAUACUGCUGUGACUGGAGUCCGGUAGAGGAGUGUGGAAUUCCUGGUGUAGCGGUGAAAUGCGCAGAUAUCAGGAGGAACACCGACAGCGAAGGCAGCACUCUGGGCCGGUACUGACGCUGAGGAGCGAAAGCAUGGGGAGCGAACAGGAUUAGAUACCCUGGUAGUCCAUGCCGUAAACGUUGGGCACUAGGUGUGGGGUCUAGCUAACAGAUUCCGUGCCGCAGCUAACGCAUUAAGUGCCCCGCCUGGGGAGUACGGCCGCAAGGCUAAAACU
This 867-nucleotide ribosomal RNA is filed under the name uncultured Actinomycetes bacterium. RNAcentral's name for it is "SSU rRNA". It matches the Rfam family "Bacterial small subunit ribosomal RNA", at positions 21 to 901 of the family's 1533-position model. Lineage: Bacteria; Bacillati; Actinomycetota; Actinomycetes. The record is from RNAcentral.